GUCGAGGAGGACAGCUGGGCACGUGCCUGGGCCGGGGACCACAGGCCUGGGCCACGGGUACCCGCUGACCUCCCUGCACCUGUGCCCCACAGCCUCUGGCACGAGUACCCGCUCUGAGAGUCUGCACGCUGGCCCCAGAGAGACAGCGCCUGGGGCUGUCCCGCUGCCCCCUGCUACCCCCGCACCAGGCACCCCUGCAGCUGUGCCCGUGUCCCGCAGCGGGCGCUGGGCAGAUUAAACGCUGGUGUGAACAAGGUGAGCUGUGGCAUGUGCUGUCUAUGGCACUGUGCCCCCAGCAGCGGGGCACCCAGGCUCCAGGUGGUGCCCCAAGGCAAGACAGGAAAGGGGCAGAGCCCUGCUGUGGGGCACCAAGGGGUGGGUAUGGUCCCCUCCUACCCCCAAGGAGAGAGCCAGGCAGGUUGUCCAGACAGAGGGUUUAAUGCCAGCCCCAGGACCACCCAUGGCUCUGUGCCACCCCACAUGCUGCCCCCAUCCCUCUGCCCCACAGAGGCAGGCAGGGAUCCCUUUGCCUCACAGAGCUCUUUGCUCUGGGGCAGCCAGGGAUCACUCUGCCCCACUGCGCUCCUCACCAUAGGGCAGGCGGGGAUCCCUCGUCCCCUCCUUGGGGCGCCCUUGCCCAAGAGGGACCCUGUGUCCACCACAGGCAGUGUGGGGAGCCUGGCCUGCUGUAGGGCGGCUUGGCUGUCCUUGUCAGCGCCAUGGGGGGCUCAGCUGUCGCUGUGGGGCAGGCGGGACACUGCCUGCAGUGCCUGCUCAGGGAGCCGGGUGGGCUGCGUCAGGAUGGACGUGACCUUGCUGAGCUGCAGCAGGGAGCUGGAGAUGGCUGCGGGGAGAAGGAGAUCAGUACCUACCAUGUCCCCAUGCCCACCUCUCCCAUGGCCAAAGCGGAGCCCCAGGCAGUGCCCACUGGGCCUGGGACAUGGGGGCGUCAGGACACCUGGGUCCCUCCCUGCGGCAGAGGGCUGGACGUACCAGGGCGCAGCACAGGCAGGGCGCAGUGCCGCUCCAGCCAGCCUAGCACGGACUGGCAGAAGUCCUCGGUGCUGCUGGUGCUUACGGCUGCGCUGUAGCUCUCAAACAGCGGCUGCAUGAUGGUACUGAACUGGGAGCGCUGGGCUAAGGACAAGGUGCCGCUUGCCUGCCCUGGGAUCUGCCUCCNNNNNNNNNNNNNNNNNNNNNNNNNNNNNNNNNNNN
RNAcentral lists this long non-coding RNA (1215 nucleotides) under Struthio camelus australis. RNAcentral's name for it is "lncRNA (ENSSCUG00000007136.1)". The record is from RNAcentral. Lineage: Eukaryota; Metazoa; Chordata; Aves; Struthioniformes; Struthionidae.